This 301-nucleotide ribosomal RNA is filed under the name uncultured bacterium. RNAcentral's name for it is "partial 16S ribosomal RNA". It matches the Rfam family "Bacterial small subunit ribosomal RNA", at positions 509 to 807 of the family's 1533-position model. The record is from RNAcentral.
CAGCAGCCACGGGAAUACGGAGGGGGCUAGCGUUGUUCGGAAUUACUGGGCGUAAAGCGCACGUAGGCGGAUAUUUAAGUCAGGGGUGAAAUCCCAGAGCUCAACUCUGGAACUGCCUUUGAUACUGGGUAUCUUGAGUAUGGAAGAGGUGAGUGGAAUCCCGAGUGUAGAGGUGAAAUUCGUAGAUAUUCGGAGGAACACCAGUGGCGAAGGCGGCUCACUGGUCCAUUACUGACGCUGAGGUGCGAAAGCGUGGGGAGCAAACAGGAUUAGAUACCCCCGUAGUCCCUGUCUCUUAUAC